This 253-nucleotide ribosomal RNA is filed under the name uncultured bacterium. RNAcentral's name for it is "partial 16S ribosomal RNA". It matches the Rfam family "Bacterial small subunit ribosomal RNA", at positions 524 to 776 of the family's 1533-position model. The record is from RNAcentral.
UACGGAGGGUGCAAGCGUUAUUCGGAAUUACUGGGCGUAAAGCGCGUGUAGGCGGGGAUGCAAGUCUGAUGUGAAAGCCCUGGGCUUAACCUGGGAAGUGCAUUGGAAACGGCAUCUCUUGAGUACUGGAGAGGAAGGGGGAAUUCCCGGUGUAGAGGUGAAAUUCGUAGAGAUCGGGAGGAAUACCAGUGGCGUAGGCGCCUUUCUGGACGGCAACUGACGCUGAGACGCGAAAGCGUGGGGAGCAAACAGG